This 210-nucleotide long non-coding RNA is filed under the name Mytilus galloprovincialis (Mediterranean mussel). Lineage: Eukaryota; Metazoa; Mollusca; Bivalvia; Mytilida; Mytilidae. The record is from RNAcentral.
GUUUGCAUCAUGGGGGAUCCUAAUGGAAAAUUGUGUGUAAGUAAAAUAAAAUCUCUUAUGUCUGAGAUUUUUAUUUCAUGUACAUUAAUUAUAACCCAUGGAUCAAAGUUCUGUAGGGUAUAAUGUUUUUGACUUUGUCCAUCAGUCCUGUUCUAGUCAUCCCAACUCCUCUGAAACCACUCAACAGAAUUUUAUAAAACUCUGUAGAUA